GAGGAGGCGACAGGAGGCAGUGGAAGCUCCAUCGUCAGGGAGCGAGACACUGCGCAGGCUCAGCACCCGGGAAUGAGGGCGCCUUCUCGGCCACAGAGCGCGUCCUCCUCGGUCCCCUUCUUGCGGGUCUGGAAGUCCACGAGACGGAUACAAAGAGCGGGAGUGACCUGGAGCUUCCGUCCACGGGCCACUAAGUGCAUGUGGUCGCACGUAUCGAUCCGAUCACCUGCUUGUCACACCUGGAACCGGAAGGAUGCUCUCUGUCAACGAGCACAUGAGGUGGGUGUGGAAAGAAGAGCAUGCGGCAGAUGGACAUCUUGUACGGAUGCAUGGAUGAAGGAGCACCACGCUUGUGUGCUGUGGCAAAGAAGAACAGAGCCUGUUCCUGUCUUUGGUUAUCUAGCUGUAUGAGUGUUAAACAUCCAUCAUAAAGCUAGAUAACCGAAAGUAGGAAUAACUUUCAAACCUUCGUAAGACAAGAAGGCAGAAGAAAGACAAGAGAGUGUGCUUGCUCUUCAUCAGGAAAAGAAGCAACAGAUCCCACCAUGUUGCAGACUGACAUCCAACUGUCAAUCAAUGCAAAUUUAAUUUAAGCACAUUCUAAAUGUCACGGCUAUGAACUU
Long non-coding RNA from Hippocampus comes (tiger tail seahorse), 623 nucleotides. RefSeq lists it as uncharacterized. The record is from RefSeq and is a predicted model, not a curated record. NCBI's taxonomy places the organism in Eukaryota, Metazoa, Chordata, Actinopteri, Syngnathiformes, Syngnathidae. The transcript is spliced from 3 exons.